AAGUCGUAACAAGGUCUCCGUUGGUGAACCAGCGGAGGGAUCAUUACAGAGUUAUCUAACUCCCAAACCCAUGUGAACUUACCAAUGUUGCCUCGGCAGAACCUACCCGGUACCUACCCUGGAACGGCUACCCUGUAGCUACCCUGGAAAGGCUACCCUGUAACGCUCUGCCGGCGGACUACUAAAUUCUUGUUAUUUUAUUGUAAUCUGAGCGUCUUAUAUUAAUAAGUCAGAA
RNAcentral lists this unclassified non-coding RNA (235 nucleotides) under plant metagenome. RNAcentral describes it as "partial contains small subunit ribosomal RNA and internal transcribed spacer 1". The stretch from base 1 to 46 matches the Rfam family "Eukaryotic small subunit ribosomal RNA", at positions 1786 to 1831 of the family's 1831-position model. The record is from RNAcentral.